AGGGUUCGAUUAUGGCUCAGGACGAACGCUGGCGGCGCGCCUAACACAUGCAAGUCGAACGAGAGAUGAAGAGCUUGCUCUUCAGAUCGAGUGGCGAACGGGUGAGUAACGCGUGAGGAACCUGCCUCAAAGAGGGGGACAACAGUUGGAAACGACUGCUAAUACCGCAUAAGCCCACGGCUCGGCAUCGAGCAGAGGGAAAAGGAGCAAUCCGCUUUGAGAUGGCCUCGCGUCCGAUUAGCUAGUUGGUGAGGUAACGGCCCACCAAGGCGACGAUCGGUAGCCGGACUGAGAGGUUGAACGGCCACAUUGGGACUGAGACACGGCCCAG
Molecule: ribosomal RNA, 331 nt
Filed under: uncultured bacterium
Lineage: Bacteria
Description: bacterial SSU rRNA
Rfam family: Bacterial small subunit ribosomal RNA
Source: RNAcentral